This 713-nucleotide long non-coding RNA is filed under the name Homo sapiens (human). Its description in RNAcentral is "non-protein coding lnc-PRDM11-4:2". Lineage: Eukaryota; Metazoa; Chordata; Mammalia; Primates; Hominidae. The record is from RNAcentral.
GCUGCUCCCAGGAGAUUCGUUUUCAGAGGAUCUGAGAAAAACCCGGCAGGGUUGAUGGCAGCUCUUUCUUCUCGGUGCCCUCGCAGUGCAGCAGGCCCCGCUUAUUUGCAAGAAGCAGCCAGGUCAGCCCACUGGGCCUCCCCACCUCUUGUGCCCCUUCGCACAUUUCAGAGCUCUCUCUUUUCCUCUGGGUCCUUCCAUUCAAGAGAGGAGGAGGAGGAGGGGGUGAGCCUGUUGCGAACGGCGUUGGUGGGGCAGGGGCCGGUUCCCCUGUUUCUGGGGAGCCUUUUCUGUGCUGGUUGCAGGCAGGGGCCCUCAGUGUGGAGCUGUGGUGAGCCUGUGCCCCGUCGUAUUUGGGUCACAGCCUCCGUGACCCCUAGCCCCCGCCAGGCACUCCACCCCUGCAGUGAUUCGCUUGAUAUUUUAAAAGCACUCCAUCUUCUGCCUGCUGCCUUCUCUCCAUUCAUCUGGGUCCAGGUUUUCGCCGAGCCAUCUAAUAAAGAAUCCAGGGGGGAGAAUGAUGGGGGCGAGGAGAGGGAAAGUGCUAACAUUUAUUAAGUGCCCGCUGGGUGCCCAGCACUUCCUCAACAACUAGAGCAGCGGUCUUUCUGCUUUCUUUCAGCUGCAUAACCCUUUCCUCCAUCCAAAAUCGCAAGCCUAACCUGGCCGUGUAAACAAACACCAGGGAAGCGCCUCUGAUGGAAGGGGAUGGG